GAAUGUUCACAAAGUAAGGGUUCUGAAAAAACAAACAUUACAAUUAGCAAGUCAUACAUUAAUAAUUAGGACAAAAGAAGCUAGGUACCGUACAUAUAGUCCAAGCACGUAAAAAUAUGCUACAUUCAUUCUAGAAAUGGUUUACUUCAAGAUAAACCUGUUUAAGUGUUUAUCCUUCAGGCUGAGCUGGUUUACAGUUGGGUCCAAUAAGGCUGUUUGCCUUGGCCCAUGCUCAACAUGUUUGGGCCUAGCUUAAUUGGCUGGGCCUGGCCUAGACUAGUGAAGAUAUGUAAAAUAAAUAUAAAUUUUUAAUUCAUUAUACAGAUCGAUUCAAGUCAGGCCUCAAAUAAAUACAAUUACCCAGCCUGCCUAGUGCCUACCUCAACAGCAGGCCUUAGUUGGACUGGGACUGAGGACAAAACCCAGUAUCUGAGCCAACUUCAUUGUGGGUUGGCUUGAGUCGAUCCUCAGGCUCAAUGAGUGAGUCUACUUCACAAUCUAGCGAAUGAAGGAAUCAUGACAUAGAAUGGGGAAUAAGAAUCCAAAAACACAAGGGAUUACAAGGAGAAAAAUCAAUUAUAUUUAAGCAUUGGUAUUCCGAUUUUUCUUUAUACAGAUUAUCUGCAUAAUUUUCAUGUGUAUAUUCAUGUGUUAAGACUAUCUUCCAACAAAGCAGUUGCUUGUUAAGGAAUUUCCCAAUGUAAAAGGGUUGUUAAGAACUUAUAGGGCUGUUACGAAAGUCAAAUACUCAUCACAAGCCUUGGGUUCAGUUUGAAUUCCAACAUAUGUAAUCAUGCACACCUCUGCCAUACUAGCAAGCCACAACCAGAAUGGUUAUGUUGAAUAUUAGCGUAAGAAGUAUUGUUUCUGAAAGCACAGCCCCCAAAAAAGCCAUAUAUGCCUUGUCAAGCCUAAAUAAUAUCAUCCAAGUGAGUAGAUGCAAAGAUCCUCACCCACCUGGAAAAAGCUCACCAACUCAAAACAGGUUACCACAAUCCCAUAAAGCUAGUUAAAUCUCUCAGCCCAUAGGAGACUAGAAAAUGCCUAAGCCCUUAUUAGAGCAAAAGGGACAAGAAAUCUCAGGCUCUAUAAAAUGUCAAACAGGCAUGCCCAAACUCAAGAUUCUGGUUAAAAAACUCGAGAUUCAGCCCAAAAAGGCUAUGCAGGUCCCAAUAGAAAGGGGCUAGAUGAUUACAAGCGGUAGGAGAAUCCACCCAUGAGAGUUGUGUGCACCCAUCCAUCCUCAAAAGACAAUUGGAAAAUAGAUGUUGCACCAAGUUGCGUACCAGGGAAGUCACAGGAAAAUAGUGUACCUAACGGUGAAAUAACCCUUGACACAACAAAAUUAUUUCUUCUCUAGAGAAGACAAUCAUUUACUAGAAAAAGCCUCCCAAUUUCCUACAGCUUCUAUCCUGGAAACUAAAGGACAAUUGUGAUUAUGUCUAAACUAUUUAACAUAGGUAAACAAUUAAUUAAAAUCAGCAAAUAAGCAAUGUCCUAAAACUUAUAACGAAGUACCUAGAGAAGUUAGUGAUAUCUUGAUACCUCCUGUUCUAAGGGCUUGAUCAGCAGCGAGGUGAGAGUGCUUUGUCAAAAGCAGAGAUCAAAAAAUUGCUUUCUAAAGUUGACCAAUCAAUAAACAUUGACUUUUAUGUGCUCUCACAGCACACUGAAGACUUCUACUUUCUAUUACCAGGCACUCUCCGCUAAUUAUGAUGGCUACAGCUCUAAUUCCUCAAAAUCAAGCUUUGAGACAAAUCCCAGCAAAUGCAAGGUCACUCUAUUUUUAUUCCAAAUCUCGCCCUCCCUAGGGUUGCCUUUGAUGAAAGCAAAUAAAAGAAAGAAUAAGGUAAAAAGUGCGAAUCAAAUGAACUAAAUGGAUAUAAUUAUAACCAACAUGGGAUACACAGUUCAAUUGAAUGAAGAGAGCACGUUACUGUCCAACCUAGGCCAAAUUCCUACUAUUGCAAACUAGGUCUUCAAUAAACAUGCUGAGCAUAAAAACUUUCAAUUCAGAGAAAACACCAUCAUCAUUAAAAAUAAUCAAGACAAACUACUCCUAUUCGAUAAACAGGAUGCCUAAGCCAAUAAAAAAUGCAUCAACAUUUGUCAACAUUUACUUCUAAUCACCAAGCAAAGUAAUGGAGCCACCAUAUUCAAUCCAUUCAAUUCGCAUCAAUGAAUAAGCGAACCGAAAAACCUAACAUCGUCUCCUGAAAGCAACAAAAACACUUAAAUUUCCCCAACGAAGCAAGCAUGGUGCCAAGCCCUAAACCCUCAAAAUCUGCAGUGCAAAAGAAAUGGAACCAAAUUACCUUUCUCAAAGCGGUAGCGAGC
This 2337-nucleotide unclassified non-coding RNA is filed under the name Hevea brasiliensis (rubber tree). Lineage: Eukaryota; Viridiplantae; Streptophyta; Magnoliopsida; Malpighiales; Euphorbiaceae. The record is from RNAcentral.